This is a long non-coding RNA of Microplitis mediator, 524 nucleotides long. RefSeq lists it as uncharacterized. The record is from RefSeq and is a predicted model, not a curated record. Lineage: Eukaryota; Metazoa; Arthropoda; Insecta; Hymenoptera; Braconidae. The transcript has 3 exons.
GUUAGAGAUCAAUGUAACGAUUGUGCAAAUUUGAUAAAAUAAUCAACAACAUUAUGAAUAUAAAUAUCGCGAUUAUUCACAAUAAAUUAAAUACUCAGUUAUCUGCUGACUUGCAAAUACUCGUAUCAUUAGUUCAUACAUAGAAAAAAAACUAAAAUGACCAAAUUUACUUUGUUGUUAUCAAUUAUUUUAUUUAUUGGCUUCUAUGCUAGUGCAGUUGAAGCAAAUUGCGAUGGGAAUUGGUGUCAUCCUUCAGAAGGCUAUCGUUGCGGUUGUGCCGAUUACUAUUGUAGUUCAACCUUUAGUCAAGGCACUUGCAAGAAACACGUAAUUCAAGCUCAUAUGAUUCCGUUCGGUAAAUAAAAUAAAAUAUUGUUGAAAAAUCCGAAAGUUCAAACCUGCAACACUCGUUUUUUAUAUUAAAUUAUCAAUUUACUAUUAUUAAUUGUCAAACUAUGUACUCCUUCCCCGAUUGAAGAAAAUAAAUUGAAAUUAUUUUCAAUGUUAAAUCUCCAUAAGAGAAA